Molecule: long non-coding RNA, 356 nt
Organism: Girardinichthys multiradiatus
Lineage: Eukaryota; Metazoa; Chordata; Actinopteri; Cyprinodontiformes; Goodeidae
Exons: 4
Source: RefSeq, a predicted model, not a curated record
UAGGAAGGUAUGUGAGAGCCUGAUGGCAGCUCUGUCUGAGAAUGUGCUGAGAGUCAACCUGUUACUGAGUGUUGUCUUUCUUACAGACAAUUUCUUCAUAUGAGUCCCACCAUUGAGAUUUUAUGGAGGCAAGUCCUCCACUUGCUCGCGGAGGAAUAAAAGGAAGGAGAAAGUCGGGGCAGAUCUUCCAGGACGACAACACGUCAGACCAAUUUAAAAAGGUCAUCCCCAUCACAGAUUGAGGCUGAAGAUCUUGUGUGGAUGAGCUUGAUAACUUUUUCAACUCGUAGAGACUCUCUGGAUUGUCAGCUGUCUGUGUUGAAACGUUUUCUGCCUGGAUCUGUGCGUACACCGUC